ACACUUACCUGGUGGGGUCACACCAUGAGCAUGAAGGAUGUUCACCCAGGUCAAGGCUGAUCCUUGCGAAUUCCCCAAAUGUGGAAAUCUUGACUGCAUAAUUUUGCAGUCAUAGGCUGGAGAUCAGGGAACCAGCUAUGU
This is a small nuclear RNA of Pygocentrus nattereri (red-bellied piranha), 141 nucleotides long. Its record names the gene U1. It matches the Rfam family "U1 spliceosomal RNA". From Rfam's summary of the family: U1 is a small nuclear RNA (snRNA) component of the spliceosome (involved in pre-mRNA splicing). Its 5' end forms complementary base pairs with the 5' splice junction, thus defining the 5' donor site of an intron. The record is from Ensembl. Lineage: Eukaryota; Metazoa; Chordata; Actinopteri; Characiformes; Serrasalmidae.